CCUUCGAUAGCUCAGUUGGUAGAGCGGAGGACUGUAGAUACUUAGGUCGCUGGUUCGAAUCCGGCUCGUAGGA
RNAcentral lists this transfer RNA (73 nucleotides) under Mus caroli (Ryukyu mouse). RNAcentral's name for it is "tRNA-Tyr (GTA) (tRNA-Tyr-GTA-6-1)". It matches the Rfam family "tRNA". From Rfam's summary of the family: Transfer RNA (tRNA) molecules are approximately 80 nucleotides in length. Their secondary structure includes four short double-helical elements and three loops (D, anti-codon, and T loops). Further hydrogen bonds mediate the characteristic L-shaped molecular structure. tRNAs have two regions of fundamental functional importance: the anti-codon, which is responsible for specific mRNA codon recognition, and the 3' end, to which the tRNAs corresponding amino acid is attached (by aminoacyl-tRNA synthetases). tRNAs cope with the degeneracy of the genetic code in two manners: having more than one tRNA (with a specific anti-codon) for a particular amino acid; and 'wobble' base-pairing, i.e. permitting non-standard base-pairing at the 3rd anti-codon position. The record is from RNAcentral. Lineage: Eukaryota; Metazoa; Chordata; Mammalia; Rodentia; Muridae.